UACAGGGGGUGCUAGCGUUGUUCGGAAUUACUGGGCGUAAAGGGCGCGUAGGCGGCUUUGUAAGUCAGAUGUGAAAUCCCCGGGCUUAACUCGGGACGUGCAUUUGAAACUGCGAGGCUAGAGUGCAGUAGAGGAUGGUAGAAUUCCCAGUGUAGAGGUGAAAUUCGUAGAUAUUGGGAGGAAUACCGGUGGCGAAGGCGGCCAUCUGGGCUGUAACUGACGCUGAGGCGCAAAAGCGUGGGGAUCAAACAGG
This 253-nucleotide ribosomal RNA is filed under the name uncultured bacterium. Its description in RNAcentral is "partial 16S ribosomal RNA". It matches the Rfam family "Bacterial small subunit ribosomal RNA", at positions 524 to 776 of the family's 1533-position model. The record is from RNAcentral.